UUACGUAAGAAUAGUCUAACAAGGUUCUCGGUGGUGAACCAGUGGAGGGAUCGCUCCCGAGUUUUAGACUGCCAAACCCAUGGAGAASGGUACCAAACUGGUGGCCUSGGGCGGGGAUUCUCUGCCCCCGGGGUGGCGUCGCAGCCCCCGGACCAUGGGCGSCCCGCCSGGAGGGACCCACCCAAAACUCUUAUGGUAUACCCCCCUCGCGGGUUUGUGUUAUAAUCUGAGCCUUCUCGGCCGCCUCUCGUAGGCGUUUCGAAAAUGAAUCAAAACUUUCAACAACGGAUCUCUUGGUUCUGGCAUCGAUGAAGAACGCAGCGAAAUGCGAUAAGUAAUGUGAAUUGCAGAAUUCAGUGAAUCAUCGAAUCUUUGAACGCACAUUGCGCCCSCCAGUAUUCUGGCGGGCAUGCCUGUCCGAGCGUCAUUUCAACCCUCGAGCCCCUCCGGGGGGUCGGCGUUGGGGAUCGGCCCUGCCUUGGCGGUGGCCGUCCCCGAAAUACAGUGGCGGUCCCGCCGCUGCCCCUCCUGCGCAGUAGUUUGCACACCCGCAUCGGGAGCGCGGCGCGUCCACAGCCGUUAAACACCCAACUUCUGAAAUGUUGACCUCGGAUCAGGUAGGACACCCGCGAAAUAGUACU
This 641-nucleotide ribosomal RNA is filed under the name Trichoderma harzianum. Its description in RNAcentral is "eukaryotic LSU rRNA". The stretch from base 274 to 427 matches the Rfam family "5.8S ribosomal RNA". The record is from RNAcentral. Lineage: Eukaryota; Fungi; Ascomycota; Sordariomycetes; Hypocreales; Hypocreaceae.